Molecule: long non-coding RNA, 227 nt
Filed under: Trifolium pratense (red clover)
Lineage: Eukaryota; Viridiplantae; Streptophyta; Magnoliopsida; Fabales; Fabaceae
Description: long non-coding RNA (TPRA_LNC009580)
Source: RNAcentral
AAAGAAAGUGGAGCUUGGUAUAUUUGGAUAAGAGCACAAAAGAAUGGAGAUGGGAAAAUAAGUUUAAAUUGGAAAAGAAUGUACGGUGGAUAUCCGAACGAUUAAAUGACUAAGUGGAAAAUGGUUGUUGGAGAAUUUCACAUCAGAAUUUGGACGUCGAGACAAGUUUAAGUAGUGAUGUGGCAUUAAUGGACGAGUGAAUAAGGUGAGGAAGUUAGUCAUUGGGA